GUGGAUUAGAUACCCUGGUAGUCCACGCCCUAAACGAUGUCUACUAGUUGUCGGGUCUUAAUUGACUUGGUAACGCAGCUAACGCGUGAAGUAGACCGCCUGGGGAGUACGGUCGCAAGAUUAAAACUCAAAGGAAUUGACGGGGACCCGCACAAGCGGUGGAUGAUGUGGAUUAAUUCGAUGCAACGCGAAAAACCUUACCUACCCUUGACAUGGCUGGAAUCCCUGAGAGAUCGGGGAGUGCUCGAAAGAGAACCAGUACACAGGUGCUGCACGGCUGUCGCCAGCU
This 289-nucleotide ribosomal RNA is filed under the name uncultured bacterium. RNAcentral's name for it is "partial 16S ribosomal RNA". It matches the Rfam family "Bacterial small subunit ribosomal RNA", at positions 773 to 1060 of the family's 1533-position model. The record is from RNAcentral.